AGACAAUAUCAGCGCCCCUGACCCCCUCUUUGCCUCCUUCAGCUCCUUUAGCUACCACUGCCACCUUCAACUACACCCUAAAGAAAGCCACAUCUAUCACAGGAGCUUUUAUGGUCCUCACUGGCAGCAGGAGCUAAAUAAAACUUGACUUUGAGGUCUGAGGUAUCGCAGGUUACAAAAUGUUGUUCUGGGCAUGAAUGUGACUGAACUAGCUCUGCUGUAUGCUGCUACUUCACUGUGGUACACAAGAGUAAUGAGAAUAGGUUUAAUGGUGUAAAAAAAACAUGGGUAGAGUAAAACCACCACACAGGGGUACUUUAAGAUGCUCUCACCUGCUUUGCUGCUGUUGACUGUAAAGGACAUGAGCUGGUUUCACUUUUUUAUUUCAGAGAUGGUUGAUGCCUAGUUGCUUCUCAGGCUGGUCCUACAUUAGCCCCUGACUGACUGUCCAGAUCAGCUUAAUAUGGAAACUCAUGUCUCUGCCACAAUGUCAAUGGGCUGUGCAGGAUUGAUUUAACAUAACACGUGUAAUCAGGUCGCUAUCGAGAACAUUGGAAAUAUCAUUAAAAGAGUCAUAGUCUGAAGAAAAAGGGACAUGGCUGAAAACAAGUGCUGAGAAGCUGUAAUGUUCAGGGCCUGCAUUUAUAAACAGACAUGACUCUGAAGUGGAAAUCUUUGCAUAGGCUUAAAAUAACUUCUGAAAACCGUUCUCUAUGAACACAGUUUGUUACUCCAUCCAAAAAUUCUGCUUUAAAACUGAACCAUGCAAAAAGGACAGUUUGUUCUGUAUAAACAUGAUCAGAAAUCUGGGAAAGUUCCAUCUAAGGUAAAAAGACGAAGUACUUUUAUGAAUACUUUUAAAACAUGUCCAUAUGGGACUCAAUUAACACAAUCAUGUGUGUGAAAACAUCUAGAAAUACUAUUAUUACAAAGGCUGAUGAUGGACUGAGGUUAAGUUGACAACUGUCCUGUACUAGUCUGACAAAUGAUAAUUUGACUAUCUUCUCGAAAAACAUGGACACUGUAUCCUCAGCUGUAAUGAUAAGUUUACAGUGUGUUGUUAAGAGAAGAGGAGAUGCCACAUGAUAGUAAAUAUUCCACUUCAGCAACUUUUUUGAAUUGAGAAGCUGGCAUCAAAUUUAGAAUUAGCAUGCAUUUUUAUUUAUCUUAUAUUUUUUAAAUUACAACAUUAUAUUGUCAUUGAACGAUCCUCGAUUAAAUAUAGGGUUUGAAUAUUUACAUCCAUCAUCUUUUUUUCAUCAACAUUUUAAACAGAAUCCCAACGUUUUUGGAAAUCAGGUUGUACACAAGUUUGUGAGCAAAAGUAGAUAGUCCUAUUUAAAAAGCCUUACUCUGCAGCUUCUAUGACAGUUUCUAAUCGUAAACUCAGAACUUAUGAAACACAGAAAACAGUGUGUGCCCUUUUUUAUUCUUAUAUCAAGAUAUUUUUAUGAUUUUAUUUUAUCAGGAUUAAUAAAAAAAGAAUAGAAGAACUUAAAUAAAAGCAGUAAUCACGCCACCAUACUAGGAAAUUGGGUAGCAGCCCCUCUUGCAUCUAAAGUGGCAGAACACACAUUUCCUCAGUGCGAGGGCUCCUGUGAAAUCGUGUCAUUACCACAGAAAAGUAGUGGCCUUUGACUCUGUGCAGAAGACAUCAUCCGCUUACAAGCUCCAACAAUAAAACUCAUGGUUGCUGUUGUAAGCCCCACUUUGUUACACAUACAUCCAAGUGAAAACAUUUAUUGCACUAAUUACAACAGCCUGCCAUUGGAUUUUCUUCCUGUGUUACACAUGCUUUGGCACAGUUCCCAGCAUUGUGCCCAACCGUCUCUCCACUCUUGACUGGUGCGCUAAAGGACAUGCAUGAGGUGAAAAAAGGAGGCGAGAAUGGGGGCAAAGGAGGGAAAUACUGCUAGAAAGUUAAAUCCUAUAGAGGAGUAAAUAACACGUGUCUGUUUAAAUUGUAAAUUACAUCAGAAAUCAAAUAUUGUUUCAAAGAUUAGAUGGUUCAGACAUGACUUGUUUGUUUUAAUAAGACACUGAGGCCUGUUCCCAGCAUUACUCUGGAUGUAAAACCCUAACUAAAACAAUUUGAGUCAUUUUUUUUAUUUUAUUAGGCCCCCAUUAUGUUCUUCACACUGAUAUCAUAUCACAACUGACAGAAGUGUGACAGUAGUGUUAAACUCUGAUGAUGCUAUGUUAUCUGCUAACACUGCAGGCUUGAGGGUAAUCCUUGACUUCCUGUAAUUUAUGUGAGUUUAGUGACGUGACUGCAUCAUCUUUAUAACUUGCUAAAUAUCAGAAUCAGAUUCUCUUUAUUGUCCCAAAAGGGAAGUUAUUGUUGCAGCAGGAGCACACAGAGCAACAAACAUCAGCUGCAUGUCACCACAAGAGCAGUGCCAUCACCAUCAGUCAACACUAAAAAGUUCACUGAUUCUAGAGUGGGAGUGAUGUAUCCAAGGGAAAAUUGGAGUGCACAAUAUGAAAUUUUAGAAGCUUGCAAAGUUCAUCAAAACUGGUGUCCUGAUACAGACCAGUUGAGCCUGAUUGAUGAAGCAUUCUGAUGAUCCCUGGCUUAGGAGGCCAGUUCCUUAUCCAUCAGGCCACUGGGGCUCAACAUAGAUGCUCUGUCCACAUUCAGUAAGUUACACUACAGAGCAUCAAUGCAGGGAGAUAAAUGACUGGGUUCAAAAUGAGAGAUGGUAGGUAGAAGCAUUGGAGAACCCUGGCACCUGAGGUUGGAGGUUGAAGUUGCCUUUGUCAACUUGAAAGUGUUGCUGGACUUGUUUGCAUCAACAGUGGUGUUCACUGUGAGAGAGAGCAAAGGAAUAGAGAGCUAGCAGAGGGUGGUUUCGAGCCAUUGACCCCUGGGUUAUGGGCCCAACAUGCUUCCACUGGAGCACUCUGAUGUUUAUCACCCCAGAUGGGACUCGAACCCACAAUCCCUGGCUUAGGAGGCCAGUGCCUUAUCCAUUAGGCCACUGGGGCUUAACAAAGGAGCUAACCCGCUCCGUCCACAUUCAGUGAGUUAAACUACAGAGCAUCACUGACUGGGUUCAAAAUGAGAGCUGGUAGGCAGAAGCCUUGGAGAACCUUAGAAUCUGAUGUUCUGGUUUGACAUUUCCUCUGUCAACUUAAAAGUGUUGCUGGACUUGUUUUCAUCAACAGUGGUGUUCACUGUGAGAGAGAGAGAGAGACCUAGCAGAGGAUGGUUUUGAGCCAUUGACCUCUGGGUUAUGGGCCAAACAUGCUUCCACUGCACCACUCUAAGUUAAUCACCCCAGAUGGGACUCGAACCCACAAUCCCUGGCUUAGGAGGCCAGUGCCUUAUCCAUUAGGCCACUGGGGCUGGACCUAAGUGCUCACCUGCUCCGUCCACAUUCAGUGAGUUAAACUACAGAGCAUCACUGACUGCGUUCAAAAUGAGAGAUGGUAGGUAGAAGCCUUGGAGAACCUUGGCAUCUGAUGUUCUGGUUUGACAUGUCUUCUGUCAACUUAAAAGUGUUGCUGGACUUGUUUGCAUCAACAGUGGUGUUUACGGUGAGAGAGAGAGAGCAAAGGAAGAGAGAACUAGCAGAGGAUGGUUUUGAGCCAUUGACCUCUAGGUUAUGGGCCCGGCAUGCUUCCACUGGACGACUCUGCUGUUUAUCACCCCAGAUGGGACUUGAACCCACAAUCCCUGGCUUAGGAGGCCAGUGCCUUAUCCAUUAGGCCACUGGGGCUGGACAUAGGAGCUCACCUGCUCUGUCCUAAUUCAGUGAGUUAAACUACAGAGCAUCACUGACUGGGUUCAAAAUGAGAGCUGGUAGGUAGAAGCCUUGGAGAACCUUGGCAUCUGAUGUUCUGGUUUGACAUUUCCUCUGUCAACUUAAAAGUGUUGCUGGACUUGUUUGCAUCAACAGUGGUGUUCACUGUCCCAUCAGACAUGGAAAUGAAUGCAGGAAAAGAUACUGUCUUUGUGAAAAAUGUCAAUACAAGUCCUUUAAUUGAGUUAUGUUAACUGCAUUCAACUUCUCUGUUCUACGCUUACAGAUCUAUAGAUGUGUUGAAAUGAUGAUGAAAUUGGUUUUAAAAUAAGUAUACCAUUUUUGGCUUUUCUCUGGAGUUUCACCAACUAAAAGGUCCAGUAAAUGGAUGGGGUGUGUUUGUGAAGACAUGCUGCCAGUAAAAAAAAAACCUGUUUUUCGAUAAACAAAGAAAACAAACUCUACAUGCCCUCUUCUAUUUUCUGAUGUAUCUGCCUGAACUUUGGUCUGUCUGUGUCAGAUUCUCAUAGUGGUAAACUGUUACUACGUUUGAAGGGGACUUUGUUCAGACUUGUUUGUUUUUAGGUCUGUUCUCUUGAUUGUAAUUCUGGAUCAAAUGGUAUUUGAAAGGUAAGGGAAUAUUUGACCACCUACUGGAAGAUUCUGGCAGGUUUGGAGCAGUUUUUGCAGUUUGACACUGUGGCUCGAGCAAGCCAGAGCAAAAGUAGAUCGGUAAUAGCACACUCAAAUGUGAAUUAAAAAAUAAUAAUAAUAAAAUAAAAUAAAAAUCAUUCAUUUUCUUUUUCAUUGACAGUAAAGUCAUUGGUCAAAAAUGUAAACAAAUUAUUUAUUUUAUUUAUAUAAAUAAUCCAAAUAUGCAUUAAAUGUUUUUGACAUAAACUGUUUGAAACAUCAAUUGAAUUUAUAAAAGCAAGCAUACAAAAAUACAUUCACGUUGAAUUCAUAUACAGUACUGUACGCUUUGUCCAUAUAUUUGAAAAUAUACAUUUGAAUUAGAUAUGGUAUUUAAUGUGUUGAUCAUAUCUGUUGACGAUAUACAUUUAACUGAUAAUGGCAUUAUAUGUUUUUAUAAAUAGAUAUAUAUGGGCCAUAUGUAAAAAAA
Molecule: transfer RNA, 4869 nt
Filed under: Xyrichtys novacula (pearly razorfish)
Lineage: Eukaryota; Metazoa; Chordata; Actinopteri; Labriformes; Labridae
Source: RNAcentral